This 2904-nucleotide ribosomal RNA is filed under the name Enterobacter hormaechei subsp. steigerwaltii. RNAcentral describes it as "23S ribosomal RNA". It matches the Rfam family "Bacterial large subunit ribosomal RNA". The record is from RNAcentral. Lineage: Bacteria; Pseudomonadati; Pseudomonadota; Gammaproteobacteria; Enterobacterales; Enterobacteriaceae.
GGUUAAGCGACUAAGCGUACACGGUGGAUGCCCUGGCAGUCAGAGGCGAUGAAGGACGUGCUAAUCUGCGAAAAGCGCCGGCGAGGUGAUAUGAACCUUUGACCCGGCGAUGUCCGAAUGGGGAAACCCAGUGCAAUCCGUUGCACUAUCGUUAACUGAAUACAUAGGUUAACGAGGCGAACCGGGGGAACUGAAACAUCUAAGUACCCCGAGGAAAAGAAAUCAACCGAGAUUCCCCCAGUAGCGGCGAGCGAACGGGGAGCAGCCCGGAGUCUGAAUCAGCUUGUGUGUUAGUGGAACGGUCUGGAAAGUCCGACGGUACAGGGUGAUAGUCCCGUACACGAAAGCACACAUGCUGUGAACUCGAAGAGUAGGGCGGGACACGUGGUAUCCUGUCUGAAUAUGGGGGGACCAUCCUCCAAGGCUAAAUACUCCUGACUGACCGAUAGUGAACCAGUACCGUGAGGGAAAGGCGAAAAGAACCCCGGCGAGGGGAGUGAAAAAGAACCUGAAACCGUGUACGUACAAGCAGUGGGAGCCUCUUUAUGGGGUGACUGCGUACCUUUUGUAUAAUGGGUCAGCGACUUAUAUUCUGUAGCAAGGUUAACCGUAUAGGGGAGCCGAAGGGAAACCGAGUCUUAACUGGGCGUUAAGUUGCAGGGUAUAGACCCGAAACCCGGUGAUCUAGCCAUGGGCAGGUUGAAGGUUGGGUAACACUAACUGGAGGACCGAACCGACUAAUGUUGAAAAAUUAGCGGAUGACCUGUGGCUGGGGGUGAAAGGCCAAUCAAACCGGGAGAUAGCUGGUUCUCCCCGAAAGCUAUUUAGGUAGCGCCUCGUGAACUCAUCUUCGGGGGUAGAGCACUGUUUCGGCUAGGGGGCCAUCCCGGCUUACCAACCCGAUGCAAACUACGAAUACCGAAGAAUGUUAUCACGGGAGACACACGGCGGGUGCUAACGUCCGUCGUGAAGAGGGAAACAACCCAGACCGCCAGCUAAGGUCCCAAAGUCAUGGUUAAGUGGGAAACGAUGUGGGAAGGCACAGACAGCCAGGAUGUUGGCUUAGAAGCAGCCAUCAUUUAAAGAAAGCGUAAUAGCUCACUGGUCGAGUCGGCCUGCGCGGAAGAUGUAACGGGGCUAAACCAUGCACCGAAGCUGCGGCAGCGACACUAUGUGUUGUUGGGUAGGGGAGCGUUCUGUAAGCCGUUGAAGGUGUGCUGUGAGGCAUGCUGGAGGUAUCAGAAGUGCGAAUGCUGACAUAAGUAACGAUAAAGCGGGUGAAAAGCCCGCUCGCCGGAAGACCAAGGGUUCCUGUCCAACGUUAAUCGGGGCAGGGUGAGUCGACCCCUAAGGCGAGGCCGAAAGGCGUAGUCGAUGGGAAACAGGUUAAUAUUCCUGUACUUGGUGUUACUGCGAAGGGGGGACGGAGAAGGCUAUGUCAGCCGGGCGACGGUUGUCCCGGUUUAAGCAUGUAGGCGGAGGUUCCAGGUAAAUCCGGUACCUUUUAACGCUGAGGUGUGAUGACGAGGCACUACGGUGCUGAAGUGAUAAAUGCCCUGCUUCCAGGAAAAGCCUCUAAGCAUCAGGUAACACGAAAUCGUACCCCAAACCGACACAGGUGGUCAGGUAGAGAAUACCAAGGCGCUUGAGAGAACUCGGGUGAAGGAACUAGGCAAAAUGGUGCCGUAACUUCGGGAGAAGGCACGCUGAUGUGUAGGUGAAGCCCCUGCGGGCGGAGCUGAAAUCAGUCGAAGAUACCAGCUGGCUGCAACUGUUUAUUAAAAACACAGCACUGUGCAAACACGAAAGUGGACGUAUACGGUGUGACGCCUGCCCGGUGCCGGAAGGUUAAUUGAUGGGGUUAGCGGCAACGCGAAGCUCUUGAUCGAAGCCCCGGUAAACGGCGGCCGUAACUAUAACGGUCCUAAGGUAGCGAAAUUCCUUGUCGGGUAAGUUCCGACCUGCACGAAUGGCGUAAUGAUGGCCAGGCUGUCUCCACCCGAGACUCAGUGAAAUUGAACUCGCUGUGAAGAUGCAGUGUACCCGCGGCAAGACGGAAAGACCCCGUGAACCUUUACUAUAGCUUGACACUGAACACUGGUCCUUGAUGUGUAGGAUAGGUGGGAGGCUUUGAAGCGUGGACGCCAGUCUGCGUGGAGCCGUCCUUGAAAUACCACCCUUUAAUGGCUGGUGUUCUAACGUAGACCCGUAAUCCGGGUUGCGGACAGUGUCUGGUGGGUAGUUUGACUGGGGCGGUCUCCUCCCAAAGAGUAACGGAGGAGCACGAAGGUUGGCUAAUCCUGGUCGGACAUCAGGAGGUUAGUGCAAUGGCAUAAGCCAGCUUGACUGCGAGCGUGACGGCGCGAGCAGGUGCGAAAGCAGGUCAUAGUGAUCCGGUGGUUCUGAAUGGAAGGGCCAUCGCUCAACGGAUAAAAGGUACUCCGGGGAUAACAGGCUGAUACCGCCCAAGAGUUCAUAUCGACGGCGGUGUUUGGCACCUCGAUGUCGGCUCAUCACAUCCUGGGGCUGAAGUAGGUCCCAAGGGUAUGGCUGUUCGCCAUUUAAAGUGGUACGCGAGCUGGGUUUAGAACGUCGUGAGACAGUUCGGUCCCUAUCUGCCGUGGGCGCUGGAGAAUUGAGGGGGGCUGCUCCUAGUACGAGAGGACCGGAGUGGACGCAUCACUGGUGUUCGGGUUGUCAUGCCAAUGGCACUGCCCGGUAGCUAAAUGCGGAAGAGAUAAGUGCUGAAAGCAUCUAAGCACGAAACUUGCCCCGAGAUGAGUUCUCCCUGAGACUUUAAGUCUCCUGAAGGAACGUUGAAGACGACGACGUUGAUAGGUCGGGUGUGUAAGCGCAGCGAUGCGUUGAGCUAACCGAUACUAAUGAACCGUGAGGCUUAACCUU